CCGUCUUCGCCAACGCGUUCGUUUACCUAGCAAUUAGGUUUACGGAGGGUCAAAUUAGAUCAAACCCUUAUAUUUUACAAAACCCCAUUCGGAGCCCUAAUAUACAAUUAACCUCAAAAUAAUACAAAUUAAAUGGAUCAACAUGCUAACAAAGCUCAUUAGAGGCUAUUAGAACACUAAGCAUUAAGGAUUAAUCCAAAUCCCAAAAGCUUACCUCAAUGUGAACGCCACGACGAGAACACGCCGCUCCAACGACCGCGCAAAAGCUCGAUCCGUCGCUCCCAAUGCGUUCGCAAGCAUCUUCUCCACCAACCCUCCAAUUUUUAGAGAGAGAUUUAGAGAGAUGAGAGAGAUAUCUAGAGAGAGGGAGAGGUGUUUCUCUCUCUAUCUCCAUGUAUGCGUGUGUGUGGUGUGCUCGGGCUGAGGGAGAAGAAGCAAGCUGCUUCUAAUAUAAUUACACCCCAAAACACUAUUUACUCCAGGCAGUUUAGCAGUUCGGAACAGUUGGAGCCCUUCUGAAUAUCCGUUUGAGCUCAAAUUUGACAGGCAAGCUCAGUUUAAUGUACUGAGUAAGAAUAUAUCUUAAGUUUUCAGUUUCGACCCCGUUUGGUCACUAAAAACUGUACCGAAUUGUAAUCUUUAUCAGAUAGCUGUCGGAUUUUAUUUCUCACUCUACGGGUGUCAGAAAAAUAUGAAACUUUAAAUAUAGUCUCAUAAAAAUAUUUCUGACCUAUCCUCCAAUUUUCAUAAUUUUCUGAGACUGUGCAUUUUCUGCUAAUUUAUCUAUCCCGUUUCCAACAGAAAAUUCUAGAUCUUCUGUUUUCAUUCCGAUUUCAGCACAAGUCACUUAUGACUUAUGUUUUACUCCUCUAAAUCCAAUAAAAAUAGUAUCUCACACUAUUUUUAUUUAUUUUUAUUUUUAUAUUUAAAAUCCGGUAUAUUACAUUCCACCGCAACCUCACCAGAAUCAUUCAAAUGGCUUUCAAACCAAAUGUACACCGUAACUUCAUGAUUUUAGAAGU
RNAcentral lists this long non-coding RNA (1022 nucleotides) under Ananas comosus (pineapple). Its description in RNAcentral is "long non-coding RNA (ACOM_LNC036122)". Lineage: Eukaryota; Viridiplantae; Streptophyta; Magnoliopsida; Poales; Bromeliaceae. The record is from RNAcentral.